Molecule: ribosomal RNA, 253 nt
Filed under: uncultured bacterium
Lineage: Bacteria
Description: partial 16S ribosomal RNA
Rfam family: Bacterial small subunit ribosomal RNA
Source: RNAcentral
UACGUAGGGGGCAAGCGUUAUCCGGAUUCACUGGGUGUAAAGGGAGCGUAGACGGCGACGCAAGUCUGGAGUGAACGCCCGGGGCCCAACCCCGGGACUGCUCUGGAAACUGCGGCGCUGGAGUACGGGAGGGGCAGGCGGAAUUCCUGGUGUAGCGGUGAAAUGCGUAGAUAUCAGGAGGAACACCGGCGGCGAAGGCGGCCUGCUGGACCGUGACUGACGUUGAGGCUCGAGAGCGUGGGGAGCAAACAGG